Molecule: long non-coding RNA, 776 nt
Filed under: Spirodela polyrhiza (greater duckweed)
Lineage: Eukaryota; Viridiplantae; Streptophyta; Magnoliopsida; Alismatales; Araceae
Description: long non-coding RNA (SPOL_LNC002484)
Source: RNAcentral
GUAAAUAUCAUACAUUUUCAAUGGCUAACUACUUACAAGUGAUUAUUUUUAUUUUUUUAACAAACUCAAGCAUUUGAGUAAAUACUUUUACAAAACAUUUAGAGAUAAAUCACAAGGCCUUCACUAGAUAGUCAAACUACAUGAAGAGAUUAAGUAAAAGAGUAUUAUUCAAGCAUUCAAUAGCCUUCCUUGACUUGUUCAAAAUUACAACAUCUUCAACCAUUCAUUAGUAGUUCAAUAUAUAAAAAACAAUAUAAGUCAUGUUUCAAAUUUCAUCAUCUUCAUCAAAACUCAUGAUGCACUUUAACAUUAUUUUCUAGGCAUCAUCUGAUAAUGAAAAAAAGUAUAUUUAUUGUGAAACAAACUUAUUAUUAAAGUAUUACUUAAUCAUCUAAGGGAUCUGAACAUGUUAAUUAGUUGUUGAAAACUCAACAGUCUUACAAUUGUGAAUUUAAAAUUAAAAAUUUGAGAGAUCUUUUCAGAGAGCUGAACUUAACAAUCGAUGAUUAUGAUCAGACAAUCAAUCUUAAUGGAACCUAAGAACAAUGACUUUUAUUAGAGAGUAGACAAAAAGAGUGUGCUAAACCACUAUAAAAUUUCCUAGUCUUACACUCAUUAAUCAAAGAAGGUUGUAAGGUUUGGAUCCUUAAGAAUGAGAUCAAGAUUAGACUAGUGUGUGGACUGAACUUAUAGUUUGAAUUAAUCAAAGAAGGUUGUAAGGUUUGGAUCCUUAAGAAUGAGAUCAAGAUUAGACUAGUGUGUGGACUGAACUUAUA